Molecule: small nucleolar RNA, 125 nt
Filed under: Sorex araneus (European shrew)
Lineage: Eukaryota; Metazoa; Chordata; Mammalia; Eulipotyphla; Soricidae
Source: RNAcentral
UCUAAGUGUUGAGCCUAGGUCAGGGCUGCUUCCCAGUUCUGGUAAUUAAGACUUUGGGACAGUAAAACACAACUGGGUAGAAGGUAUAGGUAUUUCUCCACUCAUUCCCUUCACAGCUUACAAAA